Molecule: non-coding RNA, 2398 nt
Organism: Camellia sinensis
Lineage: Eukaryota; Viridiplantae; Streptophyta; Magnoliopsida; Ericales; Theaceae
Source: RefSeq, a predicted model, not a curated record
UACGAGAUUGGUCCACACGCACAACAUAUAUAACUAAUCUUUCAUACUUAUUACUAUUCAGCAAUUGAUCAUUCCUUGAUCUCAACGAGCCUUCAAAAUGAUCAAACCCAUGUUCUCUCUCUUCCUUCUCUCUCUACUCUUCUUCUCCUCAAACUCAUCAACUGUCCACAACCCAAUCAACGUCUGGCCCAAACCACGAACCUUCCUGUGGCCCAACCCACACUCGAUCUUCCUAUCCACAAACUUCACCAUCUCAUCCCCUAACUCCAACCAUCCCUACCUAACUCCCGCCGUCAAACGCUACCUCCGUCAGAUCCUCACCGAGCACCACCGCCCCCUAAUCCCCUCCGCCGCCAACCCCGCCUUAUCGCCGCCGUUGCAAACCCUAACAAUCGCCGUCGCAGACCUCGCCACGCCGCUCCACCACGGCGUCAACGAGUCCUACACCCUCACCAUCCCCCCCGCCGGCGACGGGGCUGUUUCCGCCGGCGCCAAUAUCACGGCGGAGACGGUGUGGGGCGCCAUGAGAGGGCUCGAGACCUUUUCUCAGCUAGUAUGGGGCGACCCGACCCGAGUGGCGGGUGGGUUGUACAUCGCCGAUUGGCCGAUUUUCGGGCACAGAGGGGUGAUUUUGGACACAUCGAGGAAUUACUAUGGAGUAGAUGAUAUAUUGAGGACGAUUGGGGGGAUGAGUGAGAACAAGCUGAAUGUGUUCCAUUGGCACAUCACGGACUCGCAGUCGUUCCCUCUGGUGGUGCCUUCGGAGCCUGAUUUGGCAAGGAAAGGAUCGUAUGGUGAAGAAAUGCAGUACUCGCCGGAGGAUGUGAAGAGGGUUGUAGAGUUCGGGUUGGAACAUGGGGUUAGGGUUUUGCCAGAGAUUGAUAUGCCAGGACAUACAGGAUCAUGGGCUGAAGCUUACCCAGAGAUUGUGACAUGUGCAAACAUGUUUUGGUGGCCUGCUGGAUCUGAAUGGGCCGACCGGCUUGCAUCUGAACCAGGAACGGGUCAACUCAACCCAUUAAACCCCAAGACCUACCAAGUCAUCAAAAAUGUCAUUGGUGACGUUACGACCAUGUUUCCAGAACCAUUUUACCAUGCAGGUUCAGAUGAGAUCAUCCCAGGUUGCUGGAAAGCUGAUCCGUCGAUUCAAACCUUCUUAUCAAAUAAUGGAACCCUCAAUCAACUCUUUGAGAUGUUUGUUAAUUCUACCUUCCCUUACAUUGUCUCCCUAAAUCGUACAGUGGUCUAUUGGGAAGAUAUUUUAUUGGAUGCCAAUAUUAAGGUGAACCCCUCUACCCUUCCCCCCGAGAAUACCAUUUUGCAAACCUGGAACGGUGGCCCGAGUAACACUAAAAAGAUUGUUAGCUCUGGGUAUCGUGCCAUUGUUUCAUCAUCGGACUUCUAUUAUUUGGAUUGUGGGCAUGGAGGUUUUGUUGGGAAUGACAGUUCAUAUGAUCAGAAACCAGGUACUGACCCAGGUAAUGGUGGAUCAUGGUGUGCACCUUUCAAAACAUGGCAAACCAUAUAUAACUAUGAUAUAACAUAUGGGUUGAGCGAGGAGGAGGCAAAAUUAGUGUUAGGAGGGGAGGUGGCACUAUGGUCCGAGCAAGCUGAUCCAACAGUUCUGGAUCAACGCAUAUGGCCAAGAGCUUCAGCAAUGGCAGAGACAUUAUGGUCAGGGAAUCGUGAUGAAACAGGCAUGAAGAGAUAUGCGGAGGCUACAAAUCGGUUGAAUGAGUGGAGGCAUAGAAUGGUUGCCAGGGGAAUCGGAGCUGAACCCAUUCAACCACUUUGGUGUGAAAGGAACCCUGGCAUGUGUAAUACAGUCAAUUCAUUUUAGAUAAGCCAUGAAGAAGAAGAUGAGAUCAAGUGAGCUCUCAGAGCCAAAUGCCGAGGACUUUUAGCAGUUGCUGAUGAUGUCAAUGUAAAGCAAAAUUUCGUUUUGGCGAACUUUUGUUCUGAUCAUAUUAGAACCUCUGAUAGUGUACAUUGAACCAUUGCAGUUGCUGAGGAUAUCAAUGUAAACCAGAAUUCUUUGAACCAUUGUCGGCUAUGUUGGCUUACAUGCCCGUUGCCUCACUUUAGAAUACGAAAAGACACCAAGACAUGGUUGAGAUGUCCAUUCAUGGGGCCUUUAGUGGGUUAUGUAAAUCAGGAAGAAAGCAAUAACCCAAGUGGUUUACUUCUCCAGGGCACCAUUCUUCUUUCAACAGCUUUGUUCCCAACUUCCAAGUUAUCUUAUUACUUAUAGUCUUAAAAUUGGAUUCAAUGUUAAGAUGACUCGAAUCAAUUUGAAAUAUUUCUUCACAUAUAUAGUUGCCCAAUUAAUUGAAUGUCUAUGUGCAGUUGGGGCCACUUCUAGUACAGAAGAUCCAUGCUGGAUGCUUAUUAUACUAAG